UUGAAUUGAAAAAAAUCACCUCUCAUCAACAUCACAGCCCAACUCAAAAUGGACGACGAAGCAGAGAUAUACGACGGCAUUAGAGCCCAAUUCCCGCUCUCCUUUGGCAAACAAUCGAAACUCCAUACCUCUCUCGAAAAAGUUCACGACUCCACCCGCCGAAUCGAACCGCAACCUCCCGCUGCAACCUCCAAGAGUAAUGACUUGCCGUCUCUCUCAUCCUCCUCCCGAGCUUGGCUUGACUCUCUCCGAAAACCUAAACCUUCCGACGCGACAAAAGUGGGGCCUGCACCGCCUCCUGAGCCACCGAUACAGGAGGAAGAUGACGGUGACGUGAUGAUUGGCCCCCCACGGCCUCCCCAGCCUGCGGAAACUGAGGAUGAUGAGGGAGAUGAGAUGAUUGGGCCACCGCGGCCGCCCGUGGCAGCAGAGACGGACGAUGAACAGGGGGAGGAAGAGGAGAAUCGAUAUCGGAUUCCGAUGAGUAACGAGAUUGUUCUCAAGGGUCAUACUAAGAUUGUUUCGGCUCUUGCAGUUGAUCACUCUGGGUCUAGAGUUCUCUCCGGUAGUUAUGACUAUACGGUGCGAAUGUAUGACUUUCAAGGAAUGAAUUCCCGUUUACAAUCCUUUAGACAACUUGAGCCAUUUGAAGGCCAUCAAGUGCGUAACUUAAGUUGGAGUCCUACUUCGGACCGUUUCCUCUGUGUAACUGGCUCUGCUCAAGCUAAGAUUUAUGACCGAGAUGGACUUACCCUAGGUGAGUGUGUUAAGGGUGAUAUGUAUAUUCGUGAUCUCAAAAACACCAAGGGACACAUUUGCGGAUUAACAUCUGGGGAGUGGCACCCUAAAAAUAGAGAGACGAUUUUGACAUCAUCGGAGGAUGGAUCUCUUCGUCUAUGGGACGUGAAUGAUUUCAAAUGUCAGAAGCAGGUUAUCAAACCAAAGCUUGCAAGACCUGGAAGAGUUCCGGUUACCACAUGUGCUUGGGAUCGUGAAGGAAAAUGCAUUGCAGGUGGUGUAGGAGAUGGUUCUUUACAGCUAUGGAACCUUAAGCCUGGAUGGGGAAGCAGGCCAGACGUAUAUGUUGAGAAGGCUCAUUCUGAUGAUAUAACUGGGCUUAAGUUUUCUAGUGACGGGCAAAUUCUACUGUCCAGAAGCUUUGAUGGUUCAUUGAAGGUUUGGGAUUUGCGCCAAAUGAAAAAGUCUCUGAAGGUGUUUGAGGAUCUUCCUAAUCACUAUGCCCAAACAAAUAUAGCAUUUAGUCCUGAUGAACAACUUAUCUUGACUGGAACAUCUGUUGAAAGGGAGAGCACAGUUGGAGGAUUGCUUUGUUUCUUUGAUCGAGCAAAACUUGAACUUGUUUCAAGAGUUGGAAUAUCGCCGACUUGUAGUGUAGUGCAAUGUACUUGGCACCCAAAGCUGAAUCAGGUCUUUGCAACAGCUGGAGAUAAGCAUGUAGGAGGAACUCACAUAUUAUAUGAUCCCACCCUUAGUGAGCGAGGAGCUCUUGUCUGUGUUGCACGAGCACCAAGGAAAAAAUCUGUUGAUGAUUUUGAGGUACAACCUGUGAUUCACAAUCCACAUGCAUUGCCCUUAUUCAGAGAUCAGCCAAGUCGUAAGCGUCAACGAGAGAAAACACUGAAAGACCCUCUUAAGUCCCAUAAGCCUGAGCUUCCCAUUACAGGACCUGGGCAUGGUGGAAGAGUUGGUGCAACUAAGGGAAGCUUAUUGACCCAGUACCUUAUGAAGCAAGGGGGAAUGAUCAAGGAGACAUGGAUGGAGGAGGAUCCCAGAGAAGCUAUACUAAAGUAUGCUGAUGCUGCAGCAAAAGAUCCUAAAUUCAUUGCUCCAGCAUAUGCAGCAACCCAGCCUGAACCAGUUUUUGCAAAGUCUGAUUCUGAGGACGAUGAGAAAUGAUUCAGUUGUGGUAGUGUACUUGUGCCACUCUUUCUUUUUGUUCUUUGCUUUUGGUUUUCAUUUGCUAAUCAGUGAUGGGAUAAUAUUUAGGAGCCUUCAGUCAUUUUACCGUUCAAUUUAUUGAAUGCCUUGUAUUUGUGUUAUUGCACUUAUAUGCAGCUGGUUUUAGGUAUGUUACCUUAAAAUCACCACGAUUUGAAUGAGCACUAAAGAAAUACAUUGAACUGGGCAUCGUUAUACUGAAGUUGAUUGUUUGACAGUAAUGAGGAAGCUUGCAUAUGGAUGUAAUUUGCAGUUGGAAUUUCUGCGCAUCUAAAGCCAUAAACAAUGCUAACACGUCCUUGUCCUAUAUUUUAUUGUUCUAAGGGGAUUGAUGUACACUAAUACAUUGUAUUAUGUCAUUGAUUAGAUAUUGUUGAACAUUAUGAUCAGUUUGAAACAGCAGGUUAAAGAGAUCAUAUAGGUUAAAAUCUUUUUUGUAUAUGAAAUCUAAACACUGGGUGUCAAUGCAUUUUCAUUUAUGACACUUGAUGUCAGUUCACACGUAA
Mangifera indica (mango) is the source of this 2465-nucleotide RNA transcript. It is a transcript of the gene named WD repeat-containing protein 70, with no coding region annotated. The record is from RefSeq and is a predicted model, not a curated record. NCBI's taxonomy places the organism in Eukaryota, Viridiplantae, Streptophyta, Magnoliopsida, Sapindales, Anacardiaceae. The transcript has 9 exons.